This 72-nucleotide transfer RNA is filed under the name Ictidomys tridecemlineatus (thirteen-lined ground squirrel). Its description in RNAcentral is "Spermophilus tridecemlineatus (thirteen-lined ground squirrel) tRNA". It matches the Rfam family "tRNA". Rfam says of the family: Transfer RNA (tRNA) molecules are approximately 80 nucleotides in length. Their secondary structure includes four short double-helical elements and three loops (D, anti-codon, and T loops). Further hydrogen bonds mediate the characteristic L-shaped molecular structure. tRNAs have two regions of fundamental functional importance: the anti-codon, which is responsible for specific mRNA codon recognition, and the 3' end, to which the tRNAs corresponding amino acid is attached (by aminoacyl-tRNA synthetases). tRNAs cope with the degeneracy of the genetic code in two manners: having more than one tRNA (with a specific anti-codon) for a particular amino acid; and 'wobble' base-pairing, i.e. permitting non-standard base-pairing at the 3rd anti-codon position. Lineage: Eukaryota; Metazoa; Chordata; Mammalia; Rodentia; Sciuridae. The record is from Rfam by way of RNAcentral.
AGGGUUGUAGCUCAGUGGUACAGUGCUUGCCUAGCAAGUGUGAGGCACUGGGUUUGAUUCUCAGCAACACAU